AGGUUCUGGCACGUGGGUGUCGGUAGAGCGGGAACUGCUCCCGCCCCCUCCCCCCGCGGGUCAGUGCAAGCAGUGGGGUCCGGGCGGGACGGGGCUGAGGAGCAGCUGGAGCGAGCCUUUCUCAGUGGCGGCAGAUGACAGGAUGAGAAGCAACGGGCUCAAGUUGCAGCAAGGAAGGUUUAGGUUGGAUAUUAGGAAAAACGAUCUCAGAAGGAAGAUGGUGAAGCCCUGGAACAGGCUACCGCAGAGAUUCAAUUUCAUCCGAAGAUCCUGAAGUUCCCUUCCUUCCUGCACUCUAUUAGAGGGGAGAAAUUAUGUGAAAGCCUCAAAGUGUGACUGACUUCCAGAUAUGCCUCUCUGCAUUUCUGGAAGUACUUGAAUGAAUAUUUAUACCCAGUGGCUAACAAGUUAUGAGCUCAUAACAAUAAGAAGUAAAAGCUUGGAUUUUCAGAUGGUCACGGUGCAGGCUGGAAAACUUCCAGGAAAACUUCACUUAAGUCCCA
Long non-coding RNA from Alligator sinensis (Chinese alligator), 503 nucleotides. RefSeq lists it as uncharacterized. NCBI's taxonomy places the organism in Eukaryota, Metazoa, Chordata, Crocodylia, Alligatoridae. The transcript has 4 exons. The record is from RefSeq and is a predicted model, not a curated record.